RNAcentral lists this ribosomal RNA (501 nucleotides) under uncultured bacterium. Its description in RNAcentral is "partial 16S ribosomal RNA". It matches the Rfam family "Bacterial small subunit ribosomal RNA", at positions 30 to 523 of the family's 1533-position model. The record is from RNAcentral.
AUUGAACGCUGGCGGCAGGCUUAACACAUGCAAGUCGAGCGGGGAAAGGUAGCUUGCUACUGGACCUAGCGGCGGACGGGUGAGUAAUGCUUAGGAAUCUGCCUAUUAGUGGGGGACAACAUCUCGAAAGGGAUGCUAAUACCGCAUACGUCCUACGGGAGAAAGCAGGGGACCUUCGGGCCUUGCGCUAAUAGAUGAGCCUAAGUCGGAUUAGCUAGUUGGUGGGGUAAAGGCCUACCAAGGCGACGAUCUGUAGCGGGUCUGAGAGGAUGAUCCGCCACACUGGGACUGAGACACGGCCCAGACUCCUACGGGAGGCAGCAGUGGGGAAUAUUGGACAAUGGGGGGAACCCUGAUCCAGCCAUGCCGCGUGUGUGAAGAAGGCCUUUUGGUUGUAAAGCACUUUAAGCGAGGAGGAGGCUACCGAGAUUAAUACUCUUGGAUAGUGAACGUUACUCGCAGAAUAAGCACCGGCUAACUCUGUGCCAGCAGCCGCAGUAA